This 529-nucleotide ribosomal RNA is filed under the name uncultured bacterium. RNAcentral describes it as "bacterial SSU rRNA". It matches the Rfam family "Bacterial small subunit ribosomal RNA", at positions 979 to 1509 of the family's 1533-position model. The record is from RNAcentral.
CCUUGACAUACUAAGAACUUUCCAGAGAUGGAUUGGUGCCUUCGGGAACUUAGAUACAGGUGCUGCAUGGCUGUCGUCAGCUCGUGUCGUGAGAUGUUGGGUUAGUCCCGNAACGAGCGCAACCCUUUUCCUAUUUGCCAGCGGGUCAUGCCGGGAACUUUAAGGAUACUGCCAGUGACAAACUGGAGGAAGGCGGGGACGACGUCAAGUCAUCAUGGCCCUUACGGCCAGGGCUACACACGUGCUACAAUGGUCGGUACAAAGGGUUGCUACCUCGCGAGAGGAUGCUAAUCUCAAAAAGCCGAUCGUAGUCCGGAUCGCAGUCUGCAACUCGACUGCGUGAAGUCGGAAUCGCUAGUAAUCGCGGAUCAGAAUGCCGCGGUGAAUACGUUCCCGGGCCUUGUACACACCGCCCGUCACACCAUGGGAGUUUGUUGCACCAGAAGUAGGUAGUCUAACCGCAAGGAGGACGCUUACCACGGUGUGGCCGAUGACUGGGGUGAAGUCGUAACAAGGUAAGCGUAGAUGA